RNAcentral lists this ribosomal RNA (545 nucleotides) under Anaplasma phagocytophilum. RNAcentral describes it as "bacterial SSU rRNA". It matches the Rfam family "Bacterial small subunit ribosomal RNA", at positions 64 to 637 of the family's 1533-position model. Lineage: Bacteria; Pseudomonadati; Pseudomonadota; Alphaproteobacteria; Rickettsiales; Anaplasmataceae. The record is from RNAcentral.
ACAGGAUUAUUCUUUAUAGCUUGCUAUGAUAACAAUUAGUGGCAGACGGGUGAGUAAUGCAUAGGAAUCUACCUAGUAGUAUGGGAUAGCCACUAGAAAUGGUGGGUAAUACUGUAUAAUCCCUGCGGGGGAAAGAUUUAUCGCUAUUAGAUGAGCCUAUGUUAGAUUAGCUAGUUGGUAGGGUAAAGGCCUACCAAGGCAGUGAUCUAUAGCUGGUCUGAGAGGAUGAUCAGCCACACUGGAACUGAGAUACGGUCCAGACUCCUACGGGAGGCAGCAGUGGGGAAUAUUGGACAAUGGGCGCAAGCCUGAUCCAGCUAUGCCGCGUGAGUGAGGAAGGCCUUAGGGUUGUAAAACUCUUUCAGUGGGGAAGAUAAUGACGGUACCCACAGAAGAAGUCCCGGCAAACUCCGUGCCAGCAGCCGCGGUAAUACGGAGGGGGCAAGCGUUGUUCGGAAUUAUUGGGCGUAAAGGGCAUGUAGGCGGUUCGGUAAGUUAAAGGUGAAAUGCCAGGGCUUAACCCUGGAGCUGCUUUUAAUACUGCC